GCCGGGCGUGAUGUCUCACGCCUGUAAUCCCAGCACUUUAGGAGGCUGAGGUGGGUGGAUCACCUGAGGUCAGGAGUUCAAGCCUGACCAACAUGGUGAAACCCCAUCUCUA
Molecule: unclassified non-coding RNA, 112 nt
Organism: Pongo abelii (Sumatran orangutan)
Lineage: Eukaryota; Metazoa; Chordata; Mammalia; Primates; Hominidae
Rfam family: Metazoan signal recognition particle RNA
About the family: The signal recognition particle (SRP) is a universally conserved ribonucleoprotein. It is involved in the co-translational targeting of proteins to membranes. The eukaryotic SRP consists of a 300-nucleotide 7S RNA and six proteins: SRPs 72, 68, 54, 19, 14, and 9.
Source: Ensembl